This 70-nucleotide transfer RNA is filed under the name Sakesphorus luctuosus. RNAcentral describes it as "tRNA-Pro". It matches the Rfam family "tRNA". Rfam says of the family: Transfer RNA (tRNA) molecules are approximately 80 nucleotides in length. Their secondary structure includes four short double-helical elements and three loops (D, anti-codon, and T loops). Lineage: Eukaryota; Metazoa; Chordata; Aves; Passeriformes; Thamnophilidae. The record is from RNAcentral.
CAGGAAAUAGUUUAAUUAAAAAUACCAGCUUUGGGAGUUGGUGAUAAAGGUUUGAUUCCUUUUUUUCUGA